GACCGCGUAGCUCAGUUGGCAGAGCAUUGGGCUAGUAUUCCAAAGGUCGCAGGUUCGAUUCCCACCGUGGCCA
RNAcentral lists this transfer RNA (73 nucleotides) under Paramuricea clavata. It matches the Rfam family "tRNA". From Rfam's summary of the family: Transfer RNA (tRNA) molecules are approximately 80 nucleotides in length. Their secondary structure includes four short double-helical elements and three loops (D, anti-codon, and T loops). Lineage: Eukaryota; Metazoa; Cnidaria; Anthozoa; Malacalcyonacea; Plexauridae. The record is from Rfam by way of RNAcentral.